UACGAAGGGUGCAAGCGUUGCUCGGAAUUAUUGGGCGUAAAGGGUAGGUAGGUGGUAAUAAAAGUCUGGGGUGAAAUCCCUGAGCUCAACUCAGGACGUGCCUUGGAAACUGUAUUACUAGAGUGCUGGAGAGGUCCGCAGAAUUCCCGGUGUAGCGGUGAAAUGCGUAGAGAUCGGGAGGAAUACCAGAGGCGAAGGCGGCGGACUGGACAGCAACUGACACUCAACUACGAAAGCGUGGGUAGCAAACAGG
This 253-nucleotide ribosomal RNA is filed under the name uncultured bacterium. RNAcentral's name for it is "partial 16S ribosomal RNA". It matches the Rfam family "Bacterial small subunit ribosomal RNA", at positions 524 to 776 of the family's 1533-position model. The record is from RNAcentral.